This 21-nucleotide non-coding RNA is filed under the name Caenorhabditis elegans. Lineage: Eukaryota; Metazoa; Nematoda; Chromadorea; Rhabditida; Rhabditidae. The record is from RNAcentral.
ACAAUUGUAUUCAAUUUAAAA